AUUGAACGCUGGCGGCAGGCCUAACACAUGCAAGUCGAACGGUAACAGGAAGCAGCUUGCUGCUUCGCUGACGAGUGGCGGACGGGUGAGUAAUGUCUGGGAAACUGCCUGAUGGAGGGGGAUAACUACUGGAAACGGUAGCUAAUACCGCAUAACGUCGCAAGACCAAAGAGGGGGACCUUAGGGCCUCUUGCCAUCGGAUGUGCCCAGAUGGGAUUAGCUAGUAGGUGGGGUAACGGCUCACCUAGGCGACGAUCCCUAGCUGGUCUGAGAGGAUGACCAGCCACUCUGGAACUGAGACACGGUCCAGACUCCUACGGGAGGCAGCAGUGGGGAAUAUUGCACAAUGGGCGCAAGCCUGAUGCAGCCAUGCCGCGUGUAUGAAGAAGGCCUUCGGGUUGUAAAGUACUUUCAGCGGGGAGGAAGGGAGUAAAGUUAAUACCUUUGCUCAUUGACGUUACCCGCAGAAGGAGCACCGGCUAACUCCGUG
RNAcentral lists this ribosomal RNA (490 nucleotides) under uncultured bacterium. RNAcentral describes it as "partial 16S ribosomal RNA". It matches the Rfam family "Bacterial small subunit ribosomal RNA", at positions 30 to 507 of the family's 1533-position model. The record is from RNAcentral.